This 497-nucleotide ribosomal RNA is filed under the name uncultured bacterium. Its description in RNAcentral is "partial 16S ribosomal RNA". It matches the Rfam family "Bacterial small subunit ribosomal RNA", at positions 28 to 507 of the family's 1533-position model. The record is from RNAcentral.
GAUGACCGCUGGCGGCGUGCCUAAUACAUGCAAGUCGAGCGAACAGACGAGGAGCUUGCUCCUCUGACGUUAGCGGCGGACGUGUGAGUAACACGUGGAUAACCUACCUAUACGACUGGGAUAACUUCGGGAAACCGGAGCUCAUACCGGAUAAUAUAUUGAACCGCAUGGUUCCAUCGUGCAAGACGGUUUUACUGUCACUUAUAGCUGGAUCCGCGCCGCAUUAGCUACUUGGUAAGGUAACGGCUUACCACGGCGACGAUGCGUAGCCGACCUGAGUGGGUGAUCGGCCACACUAGAACUGAGACACGUUCCAGACUCCUACGGGAGGCAGCAGUAGGGAAUCUUCCGCAAUGGGCGCAAGCCUGACGGAGCAACGCCGCGUGAGUGAUGAAGGUCUUCGGAUCGUAAAACUCUGUUAUGAGGGAAGAACAAAUGUGUCAGUAACUAUGCACGUCUUGACGGUACCUAAUCAGGAAGCCACGGCUAACUACGUG